ACAACAGUUGGAAACGACUGCUAAUACCGCAUACGAUCUAAUCUCGGCAUCGAGGAUAGAUGAAAGGUGGCCUCUACAUGUAAGCUAUCACUGAAGGAGGGGAUUGCGUCUGAUUAGCUAGUUGGAGGGGUAACGGCCCACCAAGGCGAUGAUCAGUAGCCGGUCUGAGAGGAUGAACGGCCACAUUGGGACUGAGACACGGCCCAG
This 207-nucleotide ribosomal RNA is filed under the name uncultured bacterium. RNAcentral's name for it is "partial 16S ribosomal RNA". It matches the Rfam family "Bacterial small subunit ribosomal RNA", at positions 143 to 334 of the family's 1533-position model. The record is from RNAcentral.